RNAcentral lists this ribosomal RNA (301 nucleotides) under uncultured bacterium. RNAcentral describes it as "partial 16S ribosomal RNA". It matches the Rfam family "Bacterial small subunit ribosomal RNA", at positions 509 to 808 of the family's 1533-position model. The record is from RNAcentral.
CAGCCGCCGCGGUAAUACGUAGGUCCCGAGCGUUGUCCGGAUUUAUUGGGCGUAAAGCGAGCGCAGGCGGUUAGAUAAGUCUGAAGUUAAAGGCUGUGGCUUAACCAUAGUACGCUUUGGAAACUGUUUAACUUGAGUGCAGAAGGGGAGAGUGGAAUUCCAUGUGUAGCGGUGAAAUGCGUAGAUAUAUGGAGGAACACCGGUGGCGAAAGCGGCUCUCUGGUCUGUAACUGACGCUGAGGAGCGAAAGCGUGGGGAGCGAACAGGAUUAGAUACCCGAGUAGUCCCUGUCUCUUAUACC